RNAcentral lists this ribosomal RNA (464 nucleotides) under uncultured bacterium. RNAcentral's name for it is "bacterial SSU rRNA". It matches the Rfam family "Bacterial small subunit ribosomal RNA", at positions 329 to 797 of the family's 1533-position model. The record is from RNAcentral.
UCCCAGACUCCUACGGGAGGCAGCAGUGGGGAAUAUUGCACAAUGGGGGGAACCCUGAUGCAGCGACGCCGCGUGGGUGAAGGAGCACCUCGGUGCGUAAAGCCCUAUCGGCAGGGAAGAAAAGCGAACAGGUUCGCCUGGACGGUACCUGACUAAGAAGCCCCGGCUAACUACGUGCCAGCAGCCGCGGUAAUACGUAGGGGGCAAGCGUUAUCCGGAUUCACUGGGUGUAAAGGGAGCGUAGACGGCGACGCAAGUCUGGUGUGAAAGCCCGGGGCCCAACCCCGGGCCUGCAUUGGAAACUGCCGGGCUGGAGUGCCGGAGGGGCAGGCGGAAUUCCUGGUGUAGCGGUGAAAUGCGCAGAUAUCAGGAAGAACACCGGUGGCGCAGGCGGCUUGCUGGACGGCAACUGACGCUGAGGCUCGAAAGCGUGGGGAGCAAACAGGAUUAGAUGCCCGAGUACA